CUCCAUGGCGGGCCUGGGCAGGGAUACCUUCGGGUAUGCCGGUUAUGAUUGUAUGUCCGGUUCGCUAACCCUGUCUUGUGCCCGCCACCCUC
Molecule: non-coding RNA, 92 nt
Filed under: Herbaspirillum sp. Sphag64
Lineage: Bacteria; Pseudomonadati; Pseudomonadota; Betaproteobacteria; Burkholderiales; Oxalobacteraceae
Also listed under: 1 other name
Source: RNAcentral